GCGGAAAUAGCUCAGUGGUAGAGCACAACCUUGCCAAGGUUGGGGUCGCGGGUUCGAAUCCCGUUUUCCGCUCCA
Molecule: transfer RNA, 75 nt
Filed under: Synergistaceae bacterium
Lineage: Bacteria; Thermotogati; Synergistota; Synergistia; Synergistales; Synergistaceae
Also listed under: 3 other names
Description: tRNA-Gly
Rfam family: tRNA
About the family: Transfer RNA (tRNA) molecules are approximately 80 nucleotides in length.
Source: RNAcentral